RNAcentral lists this ribosomal RNA (223 nucleotides) under uncultured bacterium. RNAcentral's name for it is "partial 16S ribosomal RNA". It matches the Rfam family "Bacterial small subunit ribosomal RNA", at positions 108 to 334 of the family's 1533-position model. The record is from RNAcentral.
GAGUAAUGCAUAGGUAACGUACCCCUUAGUCUGGGAUAGCCACUGGAAACGGUGAAUAAUACUAGAUACUCCUUCUUGCUUAAUGUGAGUCGGGAAAGUUUUUUCGCUAAGGGAUCGGCCUAUGUUGUAUCAGGUAGUUGGUGAGGUAAUGGCUCACCAAGCCUAUGACACAUAGCGGGUCUGAGAGGAUGAUCCGCCACACUGGUACUGAGACACGGACCAG